Molecule: microRNA precursor, 122 nt
Filed under: Myotis brandtii (Brandt's bat)
Lineage: Eukaryota; Metazoa; Chordata; Mammalia; Chiroptera; Vespertilionidae
Description: mir-9193 microRNA precursor family
Rfam family: mir-9193 microRNA precursor family
Source: Rfam by way of RNAcentral
UGUGAACCAGUGGGGUCCCUUGGCCUGGCCUGUGCCCUCUCACAAUCUGGGACACCUCGGGGGACUUCAACUGGUUUUGGCCCAAUCCUGCAGGCCAGGCCAAGGGACCCCACUGGUGCAUG